This 228-nucleotide long non-coding RNA is filed under the name Capsicum annuum. Its description in RNAcentral is "long non-coding RNA (CANN_LNC008820)". Lineage: Eukaryota; Viridiplantae; Streptophyta; Magnoliopsida; Solanales; Solanaceae. The record is from RNAcentral.
ACUCAACAAAUAAAUGAAAUGUAAAAAAAAAUUAUUGUGGGUACAAACGAUCUACUCUACAAAUAAAUCAACAAGUUAAACCAAGGAGGAUAGGUUAUUACAUUGACGGACUCAAGCUAUAAAGAUCUAAUCAAUAUGGACAAGUUGCUCUUUAUCCGGUGGUACGAAAUUCAGCUUUGGUCGUCCUGGAUCUUUAACGUCGAUUGCGUACAACUUUUGAGCUUUUUC